CACAGUGUACAGCGCUCCAGCCAGUAACUGACAAAAAGGAUUUGGGGGUGGGGGGAGGGACGCGAUGAGGAGGAGGGAGGGGCGAGCUAGUCUAAGUUUUGUUUGAAAACACUUUGAACGUCAUCAAGAAGUGACGUCACCCAACACUGCUUAGAGCACCUUUAAUU
Long non-coding RNA from Etheostoma cragini (Arkansas darter), 167 nucleotides. RefSeq lists it as uncharacterized. The transcript has 2 exons. Lineage: Eukaryota; Metazoa; Chordata; Actinopteri; Perciformes; Percidae. The record is from RefSeq and is a predicted model, not a curated record.